RNAcentral lists this small RNA (519 nucleotides) under uncultured Glomus. RNAcentral's name for it is "SSU rRNA". It matches the Rfam family "Eukaryotic small subunit ribosomal RNA", at positions 569 to 1092 of the family's 1831-position model. Lineage: Eukaryota; Fungi; Glomeromycota; Glomeromycetes; Glomerales; Glomeraceae. The record is from RNAcentral.
AGCAGCCGCGGUAAUUCCAGCUCCAAUAGCGUAUAUUAAAGUUGUUGCAGUUAAAAAGCUCGUAGUUGAAUUUCGGGAUCAAUACGUCGGUCGUGCUUCGGUACGUACUGGCGUAAUUGAUUUCUCCCUUCUGACGAACCAUGAUGUCAUUAACUUGGUGUCAUGGGAAAUCAGGACUGUUACUUUGAAAAAUUAGAGUGUUUAAAGCAGGCUCACGCUUGAAUACAUUAGCAUGGAAUAAUGAAAUAGGACGUUCGAUCCUAUUUUGUUGGUUUUUAGGAUCAACGUAAUGAUUAAUAGGGAUAGUUGGGGGCAUUAGUAUUCAAUUGUCAGAGGUGAAAUUCUUGGAUUUAUUGAAGACUAACUACUGCGAAAGCAUUUGCCAAGGAUGUUUUCAUUAAUCAAGAACGAAAGUUAGGGGAUCGAAGACGAUCAGAUACCGUCGUAGUCUUAACCAUAAACUAUGCCGACUAGGGAUCGGAUGAUGUUAAUUUUUAAUGACUCAUUCGGCGCCUUAAC